Molecule: long non-coding RNA, 225 nt
Filed under: Lepisosteus oculatus (spotted gar)
Lineage: Eukaryota; Metazoa; Chordata; Actinopteri; Semionotiformes; Lepisosteidae
Description: lncRNA (ENSLOCG00000022279.1)
Source: RNAcentral
CCUGGAGAGUGGUGGCCAUUAAACACUGAUGUCCUUAUGGAAGGAAGUGAAAUCUGUGGUGUUGAAAACCCAACUCUUCAUGAGAUCUUGUUAGAUGUCUACUAUGAAUUACCUGCAGAAAUCCCUGAAGAUGAAGCUCAUUUUCUAGUACAAAGACUAAAAACAUUUGGCACAGAUGAAGAUACACAUUGGGUAUGUUAGUGUUUGAAGUGUGAAAUAUGGUAC